UUGGGUUCAUUACUACUGAGCCACAGUGGUAACUCCUAAUAAAAGAUUUUUUAAAAAACAAAUUACAUGCCUGCAGUUUUCCCGCAUAGUCUGGAGAAUAGUACAGACUGUCAGUGUGUUAAGAGAAUGAGUAAGUUUGAUCUUCCUCAGAGAAUGAUUCUUGAUUCUGGGAAAAAAGCCUGGCCAGAUCCCAUAACACUUUAACCAAACAGAACCACAUAAACCAAAGUGAAUAUUUAAAAUACAAUCAACCUAUUUUUCAGAGUUGUAAGAUGUUUGGACUAAAAAAUAAAUAAACAGGAUUUUCAACUAGAAAAAUUGUCCUGUUUUGACCUUUACAUUAAUUUUCUGGAUAGUUGGGUUGGGAAUUCCAAACUUUUAUGUGUUCCUUUUUUGGGGAGGGGGCGGGAUGCUUUGGGGUUGUUAUUUGAGAGUGUUUCUAGCUGUAUAACUUGGAGCCUGUGUCUAUUCUGAAAAAAUAAUACAUGUUUAGAUUAGUAAAAUUCUAGAGUAUUCAGGUUUUUUCAAACCAAGGAAAGAGACAUUUAUUGAUAAAUAAUUCUGGUUGUCCAUUCUCUUAGGGUUUUGUGAAUAAUAUAUAGCAUUGUGAUCAGUGCUCAAGAUGCCAUGUCUUAGGAAUUCAAACUCAACUUCUUUGCACAAGCUCUGUUGGAACUUAAGAGAGAAGAAAUGAAGUUCUGUAAACAAAGUUCAGAAAGACGCCCUUUGGUUCCAGGAAAGGAUUCACUUUGGCUCUACUCUUGAUCUGGGUUGAAUUGGCAGCUGCAUCGUCUUCUCUGGGAACCCCCAAGUAGCUUGGAGAACUGAUGUUGCAUAAAAGAGUAAUAGCUGUCAUUUGAAAUAAUUAAUGUGUGGGUUCCUCCGGUGGUACAGUGAGAAGCAAAAUAUUUAUUAAAGACUGGCUUGUAUAUGUAAGGAAAAACUAGACCCUGGAGACAGUCACAAAAAAAAAAAAAAAAAAAAAAAAAAAAA
Long non-coding RNA from Sus scrofa (pig), 993 nucleotides. RefSeq lists it as uncharacterized. Lineage: Eukaryota; Metazoa; Chordata; Mammalia; Artiodactyla; Suidae. The record is from RefSeq and is a predicted model, not a curated record.